GCCGGGGUGUUGGAAUUGGCAGACAACACAGACUUAAAAUCUGUUGUUUCGUAAGAGACGUGCGGGUUCAAGUCCCGCCCCCGGCA
This 86-nucleotide transfer RNA is filed under the name Candidatus Susulua stagnicola. RNAcentral's name for it is "tRNA-Leu". It matches the Rfam family "tRNA". From Rfam's summary of the family: Transfer RNA (tRNA) molecules are approximately 80 nucleotides in length. Their secondary structure includes four short double-helical elements and three loops (D, anti-codon, and T loops). Further hydrogen bonds mediate the characteristic L-shaped molecular structure. tRNAs have two regions of fundamental functional importance: the anti-codon, which is responsible for specific mRNA codon recognition, and the 3' end, to which the tRNAs corresponding amino acid is attached (by aminoacyl-tRNA synthetases). tRNAs cope with the degeneracy of the genetic code in two manners: having more than one tRNA (with a specific anti-codon) for a particular amino acid; and 'wobble' base-pairing, i.e. permitting non-standard base-pairing at the 3rd anti-codon position. Lineage: Bacteria; Pseudomonadati; Candidatus Omnitrophota. The record is from RNAcentral.